Molecule: long non-coding RNA, 346 nt
Filed under: Zonotrichia albicollis (white-throated sparrow)
Lineage: Eukaryota; Metazoa; Chordata; Aves; Passeriformes; Passerellidae
Description: lncRNA (ENSZALG00000018191.1)
Source: RNAcentral
CUGAAAAACUGACCCAUUGUAUGCAGAGCAUCUUCAGAUAUAUUGAAACACACUGUGGGGAGCUCUGCAGAAUGUCACUGCACCUGGGCCAGUGAUUCCUGUUGGACAGAGUUGUUACACUGUCUGCCAAAUCCACAUCUCCCCCACUGGCUCCAGCACCUGUGAAGGAGCAAGCCUUAAACUGUGAACAGAAUGAAAUUAAACUUGGAAGAAAGCUGUGCAAACCACUAAGUUUUAAUCCUGCACCUUUUGAGAUUAAUGUGAACAUCCCUAUAGUUGGAAGGUAAAAAAACCCUCUAAGUACUAUUAAUAGGGAUGCGAUAAUUAGCACUCAUGGACAAGAUUU